CCUACGAGUGGCAGCAGUGGGGGAUAUUGCACAAUGGGGGGAACCCUGAUGCAGCGACGCCGCGUGGGUGAAGGAGCGUUUCGGCGCGUAAAGCCCUAUCGGCAGGGAAGAAGGAGGACGGUACCUGACUAAGAAGCCCCGGCUAACUACGUUCCAGCAACCGCGGUAAUACGUAGGGGGCAAGCGUUAUCCGGAUUGACUGGGUGUAAGGGGGGCGCAGGCGGCAGCGCAAGCCAGGCGUGAAAGCCCGGGGCCCAACCCCGGGACUGCUCUUGGAACUGCGCGGUUGGAGUGCAGGAGGGGCAGGCGGAAUGCCUGGUGUAGCGGUGAAAUGCGUAGAUAUCAGGAGGAACACCGGUGGCGAAGGCGGCCUGCUGGACUGCGACUGACGUUGAGGCCCGAAAGCGUGGGGAGCAAACAGGAUUAGAUACCCCUGUAGUC
RNAcentral lists this ribosomal RNA (441 nucleotides) under uncultured bacterium. Its description in RNAcentral is "partial 16S ribosomal RNA". It matches the Rfam family "Bacterial small subunit ribosomal RNA", at positions 338 to 795 of the family's 1533-position model. The record is from RNAcentral.